GUGCCAGCAGCCGCGGUAAUACCGGCAGCUCAAGUGAUGGCCGCUGUUAUUGGGCCUAAAGCGUCCGUAGCCGGCCGGACAAGUCCGUUGGGAAAUCGACGCGCCUAACGCGUCGGCGUCCAGCGGAAACUGUCCGGCUUGGGGCCGGAAGAUCCGAGGGGUACGUCCGGGGUAGGAGUGAAAUCCCGUAAUCCUGGACGGACCGCCGGUGGCGAAAGCGCCUCGGAAGGACGGACCCGACAGUGAGGGACGAAAGCCAGGGUCUCCAACCGGAUUAGAAACCCUAGUAGUCC
RNAcentral lists this ribosomal RNA (293 nucleotides) under uncultured bacterium. Its description in RNAcentral is "partial 16S ribosomal RNA". It matches the Rfam family "Archaeal small subunit ribosomal RNA", at positions 455 to 747 of the family's 1478-position model. The record is from RNAcentral.